UGAAGGCCAUCAUAGCUCUAACUUCCUGUGUGUAGUAAUACAAAAGAUAAGAUUAACAUGAAAAUGAAAGACAUAGUAGAAAAGCAUUGUAACAAAGGUAAGUAAAGUGUUUGUAAUACCCCAAAGGAUGUUGACAUAAAAUGUUUGUGCUCAUUACUGCCUUCCAAAUAAUUCAAAUAUAUGUAAACCAUAUUAAUCAACUAUAAACGAAAUUAAGUUAGCUUAGUCAUUUUCAAAAAAUAUUUUUCCUUAAACUUCUAUUUUUGUAAAACAUUUAUCAUUGCAACUAACACACCGCCAGGUCAAGGGCACUAUGGCCACUUAGGUAAUGCAUCUGUAGUCUAGUCAUAGAGUGUCCACCAUACAAACAUAAGACUUCCCUACAAUACAAAAGAAACGCAUACGCACAACACUAUAAAUGAGCAUAUGAAAUAAAUAAUAAAUGAAACACUAUAAAUGUAGUGGAAAUUGAAGUAAGGUAGUAUUCAUUCUCACAUUCGAUUUCUUGUAUCAUCAAAGACAUAAUCUGCAAUUUUAAAGUCAUCCUUGCUAAGGGUGUAUUUCGUUACACACUCAAGCACAAAUGCCAACUUGUAGAAUGCUACUCGCUGCCCGGUAUGUCGGAUUGCCAUAUUUGAUGGUAGUCUUCGAACAAGUCCACCUUUAUUGUCCAUUCUUUCUUCUUUGUUAGAUUAAGGACGUAUGAGGUUUGGAAUUGGGGGAUGUCAGAAUCAUCUUGUUGCCUUAGAGAUACGUGGUUUGAUGGUCUAGUAUCAUUGUCCCCUCAAACUAUUGCUUCAUCAAUA
This 806-nucleotide long non-coding RNA is filed under the name Vitis vinifera (wine grape). RNAcentral's name for it is "long non-coding RNA (VVIN_LNC005806)". Lineage: Eukaryota; Viridiplantae; Streptophyta; Magnoliopsida; Vitales; Vitaceae. The record is from RNAcentral.